UACAGAGGGGGCAAGCGUUGUUCGGAAUUACUGGGCGUAAAGGGCGCGUAGGCGGCCUUCUAAGUCGAACGUGAAAUCCCCGGGCUCAACCCGGGAACUGCGUCCGAUACUGGAAGGCUUGAAUCCGGGAGAGGGAUGCGGAAUUCCAGGUGUAGCGGUGAAAUGCGUAGAUAUCUGGAGGAACACCGGUGGCGAAGGCGGCAUCCUGGACCGGCAUUGACGCUGAGGCGCGAAAGCCAGGGGAGUAAACGGG
RNAcentral lists this ribosomal RNA (253 nucleotides) under uncultured bacterium. RNAcentral's name for it is "partial 16S ribosomal RNA". It matches the Rfam family "Bacterial small subunit ribosomal RNA", at positions 524 to 776 of the family's 1533-position model. The record is from RNAcentral.